AAACUUGAGAGUUUGAUCAUGGCUCAGAACGUACGCUGGCGGCACGCCUAACACAUGCAAGUCGAACGAAGUAGCAAUACUUAGUGGCAGACGGGUGAGUAACAUGUAGGUAUCUACCCUAUGGCCUGGAAUAACACGAGGAAACUUGUGCUAAUACCGGAUAAGUCUUUACAGAGAAAGCUUUAUGCACCAUUGGAUGAGCCUGCACUUGAUUAGUUUGUUGGUGGGGUAAUGGCCUACCAAGACUGUGAUCAAUAGCUGAUUUGAGAGGAUGAUCAGCCACAUUGGGACUGAGACACGGCCCAAACUCCUACGGGAGGCAGCAGUGGGGAAUCUUGCACA
RNAcentral lists this ribosomal RNA (342 nucleotides) under bacterium HD9-500m-PIT-SAG08. Its description in RNAcentral is "bacterial SSU rRNA". It matches the Rfam family "Bacterial small subunit ribosomal RNA", at positions 1 to 370 of the family's 1533-position model. The record is from RNAcentral.